UAACACGUGGGCAAUCUGCCCUGCACUCUGGGACAAGCCCUGGAAACGGGGUCUAAUACCGGAUAUGAGCCUCUUCCGCAUGGUUGAGGUUGUAAAGCUCCGGCGGUGCAGGAUGAGCCCGCGGCCUAUCAGCUUGUUGGUGAGGUAACGGCUCACCAAGGCGACGACGGGUAGCCGGCCUGAGAGGGCGACCGGCCACACUGGGACUGAGACACGGCCCAGACUCCUACGGGAGGCAGCAGUGGGGAAUAUUGCACAAUGGGCGAAAGCCUGAUGCAGCGACGCCGCGUGAGGGAUGACGGCCUUCGGGUUGUAAACCUCUUUCAGCAGGGAAGAAGCGAAAGUGACGGUACCUGCAGAAGAAGCGCCGGCUAACUACGUGCCAGCAGCCGCGGUAAUACGUAGGGCGCAAGCGUUGUCCGGAAUUAUUGGGCGUAAAGAGCUCGUAGGCGGCUUGUCACGUCGGUUGUGAAAGCCCGG
This 480-nucleotide ribosomal RNA is filed under the name Streptomyces sp. RNAcentral describes it as "bacterial SSU rRNA". It matches the Rfam family "Bacterial small subunit ribosomal RNA", at positions 111 to 605 of the family's 1533-position model. Lineage: Bacteria; Bacillati; Actinomycetota; Actinomycetes; Kitasatosporales; Streptomycetaceae. The record is from RNAcentral.